CCUACGGGGUGCAGCAGUGGGGAAUAUUGGACAAUGGGCGAAAGCCUGAUCCAGCCAUGCCGCGUGUGUGAAGAAGGCCUUCGGGUUGUAAAGCACUUUCAGUGGGGAAGAAAGCCUUGGGGCUAAUACCCUCGAGGAAGGACAUCACCCACAGAAGAAGCACCGGCUAACUCCGUGCCAGCAGCCGCGGUAAUACGGAGGGUGCGAGCGUUAAUCGGAAUUACUGGGCGUAAAGCGCGCGUAGGCGGUCUGAUAAAGCCGGUUGUGAAAGCCCCGGGCUCAACCUGGGAACGGCAUCCGGAACUGUCAGGCUAGAGUGCAGGAGAGGAAGGUAGAAUUCCCGGUGUAGCGGUGAAAUGCGUAGAGAUCGGGAGGAAUACCAGUGGCGAAGGCGGCCUUCUGGACUGACACUGACGCUGAGGUGCGAAAGCGUGGGUAGCAAACAGGAUUAGAUACCCUUGUAGUC
RNAcentral lists this ribosomal RNA (466 nucleotides) under Vreelandella stevensii. RNAcentral describes it as "partial 16S ribosomal RNA". It matches the Rfam family "Bacterial small subunit ribosomal RNA", at positions 338 to 795 of the family's 1533-position model. The record is from RNAcentral. Lineage: Bacteria; Pseudomonadati; Pseudomonadota; Gammaproteobacteria; Oceanospirillales; Halomonadaceae.